RNAcentral lists this ribosomal RNA (129 nucleotides) under uncultured eukaryote. RNAcentral describes it as "partial 18S ribosomal RNA". It matches the Rfam family "Eukaryotic small subunit ribosomal RNA", at positions 1299 to 1458 of the family's 1831-position model. The record is from RNAcentral.
UGGUGGAGUGAUCUGUCUGGUUAAUUCCGUUAACGAACGAGAUCUUAACCUGCUAAAUAGACAGUUUUUUGACUUUCUUCUUAGAGGGACACCUGAUCGUAUAGGUCAAGGAAGUUUGAGGUAAUAACA